UACAGAGGGUGCGAGCGUUAAUCGGAUUUACUGGGCGUAAAGCGUGUGUAGGUGGCUUUCUAAGUCGGUUGUGAAAUCCCUGGGCUCAACCUGGGAAUUGCAGUCGAUACUGGAAAGCUCGAGUUCGGUAGAGGACGGCGGAAUUCCCGGUGUAGCGGUGAAAUGCGUAGAUAUCGGGAGGAACAUCGGUGGCGAAGGCGGCAUCCUGGACCGAGAUUGACGCUGAGGCGCGAAAGCUAGGGUAGCAAACGGG
This 253-nucleotide ribosomal RNA is filed under the name uncultured bacterium. RNAcentral's name for it is "partial 16S ribosomal RNA". It matches the Rfam family "Bacterial small subunit ribosomal RNA", at positions 524 to 776 of the family's 1533-position model. The record is from RNAcentral.